Molecule: ribosomal RNA, 520 nt
Filed under: uncultured bacterium
Lineage: Bacteria
Description: bacterial SSU rRNA
Rfam family: Bacterial small subunit ribosomal RNA
Source: RNAcentral
AGGACGAACGCUGGCGGCGUGCCUAAUACAUGCAAGUCGAACGGUCUUUCUAUGGAAGCUUGCUUCCACUGAGAAGAUAGUGGCGAACGAGUGAGUAACACGUGGGUAACCUGCCCAUAAGAGGGGGGAUAACAUCCGGAAACGGGUGCUAAUACCGCAUAGUUUUCUUGAUCGCAUGAUUGAGAAAGGAAAGACGGCCUUUGUGCUGUCGCUUAUGGAUGGACCCGCGGCGUAUUAGUUAGUUGGUGAGGUAACGGCUCACCAAGACGAUGAUACGUAGCCGACCUGAGAGGGUGAUCGGCCACAUUGGGACUGAGACACGGCCCAAACUCCUACGGGAGGCAGCAGUAGGGAAUCUUCCGCAAUGGACGAAAGUCUGACGGAGCAACGCCGCGUGAGUGAAAGAAGGUUUUCGGAUCGUAAAACUCUGUUGUCAGAGAAGAACAAGUUGGAGAGUAACUGCUCCAGCCUUGACGGUAUCUGACCAGAAAGCCACGGCUAACUACGUGCCAGCCGCCGC